AUUGAACGCUGGCGGCAGGCCUAACACAUGCAAGUCGAACGGUAACAGGAAGCAGCUUGCUGAUUUGCUGACGAGUGGCGGACGGGAGAGCAAUGUCUGGGAAACUGCCUGAUGGAGGGGGAUAACUACUGGAAACGGUAGCCAAUACCGCAUAACGUCGCAAGACCAAAGAGGGGGACCUUAGGGCCUCUUGCCAUCGGAUGGGCCGAGAUGGGAUUAGCUAGUAGGUGGGGUAACGGCUCACCGAGGCGACGAUCCCUAGCUGGUCUGAGAGGAUGACCAGCCACACUGGAACUGAGACACGGUCCAGACUCCUACGGGAGGCAGCAGUGGGGAAUAUUGCACAAUGGGCGCAAGCCUGAUGCAGCCAUGCCGCGUGUAGGAAGAAGGCCUUCGGGUUGUAAAGUACUUUUGUAGGGGAGGAAGGGAGUAAAGUUAAUACCUUUGCUCAUUGACGUUACCCUAAGAAGAAGCACCGGCUAACUCCGUG
This 490-nucleotide ribosomal RNA is filed under the name uncultured bacterium. RNAcentral's name for it is "partial 16S ribosomal RNA". It matches the Rfam family "Bacterial small subunit ribosomal RNA", at positions 30 to 507 of the family's 1533-position model. The record is from RNAcentral.